RNAcentral lists this unclassified non-coding RNA (101 nucleotides) under Chlamydomonas reinhardtii. RNAcentral's name for it is "S1 rRNA from Chlamydomonas reinhardtii (PDB 7PKQ, chain 1)". The record is from RNAcentral. Lineage: Eukaryota; Viridiplantae; Chlorophyta; Chlorophyceae; Chlamydomonadales; Chlamydomonadaceae.
AAAUUAGAGUUUGGUGCUGGCUCAGCUUUCAUGCGCCGAGCGGUGGUUUAUACACAUGCGAGCUUAAAAGAUUAAGGCCACGAGUGCGUAAUACGCGAGUU